ACAACAUUUUGUAUUGAUCGAAUAAAGUCAAAUUAUCUGUGCUUAACAGUUUGAUAUCUGAUGACCUUUAUUAGAAUAUAAAUAUUAAAUUAAUUUUUGGAACAGAGAAUUGGAAGAGGAGCUUGCUCCAUCCAUUCUAUGCAUUAACCUGGUACAGCAGUA
Molecule: small nuclear RNA, 162 nt
Filed under: Phascolarctos cinereus (koala)
Lineage: Eukaryota; Metazoa; Chordata; Mammalia; Diprotodontia; Phascolarctidae
Description: U2 spliceosomal RNA (ENSPCIG00000017419.2)
Rfam family: U2 spliceosomal RNA
About the family: U2 is a small nuclear RNA (snRNA) component of the spliceosome (involved in pre-mRNA splicing). Complementary binding between U2 snRNA (in an area lying towards the 5' end but 3' to hairpin I) and the branchpoint sequence (BPS) of the intron results the bulging out of an unpaired adenosine, on the BPS, which initiates a nucleophilic attack at the intronic 5' splice site, thus starting the first of two transesterification reactions that mediate splicing.
Source: Rfam by way of RNAcentral